AUUAUGAUCUGAGCAUCUGCUGACUUGACUUGGCUACCUUCAAUCAUGUCAUAUUGAAGAUCAGGCAAUCCAUGGGGCAGACUUUUUAUCCUUAUUUGACAGAUAGAGAAGAUGUCAUGGCCCUGUAAGUCAAGAGAACAGGAUGGCCAAAGGCAAGAAGAAAAAGACACUGGAAAGGGCCCCUUCCUCCUUCAGAGAGCCUCGUUCUUACACAAGGGCCAAGAAACAGGACAUCUAAGGACUUGGAAGCCCCAGGCACGUGACCCCCGGCCUCUCUGUUCUCCAGCUAAGGAACACUUUAUGGCCUUCACAUUUAUUUAUGUAUUUCCUGGACCUACUUUGUACUAGGCCAAGGGAAGUGAGCUGAAUAAGACCCAGCGGGGUUGAGAGACAUAAAAAUGGCUUAUUGAAAUUCAAUACUCCAAGGGCUGGAAGAGAUGGAUGAGUAGCGAGCCGGAGGAGCACAAAGGAAGGAGUCCCGCUGUCUGCCUAGGGAAUGCUUGAGGAAAUAAGAAUAGCCCACAUUUAUUAAGCACACAGUACAAGCAAGCAGUCUAUUAAAUGCCUUACAUGAUGUAUCUCAUUUAAUCCUCAUGUGGAAGGGAAAGGAACCACAUGUGUCUAUUGAGAAGUGACUGUUCUAAGCACUGUGUUAAAUGCUUUGCAGAAAUGAUUCUGUCUUCUUCUCUUGAUAACUGUGGCAUAUACAUAUCAU
Molecule: long non-coding RNA, 715 nt
Filed under: Gorilla gorilla gorilla (western lowland gorilla)
Lineage: Eukaryota; Metazoa; Chordata; Mammalia; Primates; Hominidae
Description: lncRNA (ENSGGOG00000044507.1)
Source: RNAcentral